Molecule: long non-coding RNA, 354 nt
Filed under: Salvia miltiorrhiza (redroot sage)
Lineage: Eukaryota; Viridiplantae; Streptophyta; Magnoliopsida; Lamiales; Lamiaceae
Description: long non-coding RNA (SMIL_LNC013625)
Source: RNAcentral
UUACUUAGAAAGUGUUUACGAUAUGAGAUCGAGUGAGACGGAGUGUAGAAAUGAGAAGUAAUGGAAUAUUACUAAGAUAGAAUGAUAUUCUUAGUAAGGAAGUUUCUGACCGAUUCCUUUUGUUUUACCCCAUGAACUAUUUUCGAUGUUAUGAUAUCUGAAGAAGCGAGCAGAGGACGGAAGUGAGUCCACCCCGAACGCUACGAGAGUAAGCUAGGACAUCAGGUGGGCAUUAUUUUUACUACGUAUAUAGAGAUCCCCUGCGUAUCGUAGGCCUCUUAUACGAAAUGAAGUAAAUGAUGUGAUUUAACUGUCAAUUUCAGUUUGAUGAAAAUUAUUACUGAUGAUGAUGUU